Molecule: microRNA precursor, 59 nt
Organism: Gadus morhua (Atlantic cod)
Lineage: Eukaryota; Metazoa; Chordata; Actinopteri; Gadiformes; Gadidae
Source: Ensembl
GUGCAUUGUAGUUGCAUUGCACGUCUGCUUUCACCGUGCAGUGUUUCCGCUCUGCAACG